CCCAGACUCCUACGGGAGGCAGCAGUGGGGAAUAUUGGGCAAUGGGCGCAAGCCUGACCCAGCAACGCCGCGUGAAGGAAGAAGGCUUUCGGGUUGUAAACUUCUUUUCUCAGGGACGAAGCAAGUGACGGUACCUGAGGAAUAAGCCACGGCUAACUACGUGCCAGCAGCCGCGGUAAUACGUAGGGGGCGAGCGUUAUCCGGAUUCACUGGGUGUAAAGGGAGCGUAGACGGCCAUGCAAGCCAGGGGUGAAAGCCCGGGGCCCAACCCCGGGACUGCCCUUGGAACUGCAUGGCUGGAGUGCGGGAGGGGCAGGCGGAAUUCCUGGUGUAGCGGUGAAAUGCGUAGAUAUCAGGAGGAACACCGGCGGCGAAGGCGGCCUGCUGGACCGCGACUGACGUUGAGGCUCGAAAGCGUGGGAAGCGAACAGGAGUAGAUACCCUAGUAC
RNAcentral lists this ribosomal RNA (449 nucleotides) under uncultured bacterium. Its description in RNAcentral is "bacterial SSU rRNA". It matches the Rfam family "Bacterial small subunit ribosomal RNA", at positions 330 to 793 of the family's 1533-position model. The record is from RNAcentral.